AUCAUUAUAGCUUUGAUUUAGUGUACAGUUCUGACCUAUGCCUGAACUCUAGUUCAAAUGCCGGCUGGAUGAGAUGGAGAAAUAUUUGGUAGUUUGCAGCUAUGCGAUUGCAAUUCUGGAUCUAUUGUCCGCAGUGCUUUUCGCCAGUGUCUCUGGAAUGCUAUAUGCACAGCACCAUCACUGGACGUCGCUGGCAGCGCUUGCUUUUGCCAUCAUUUGGAUUUGCCUCAUUAUUGUGCUGUUGCUGGGUAUUUAUCGGCGCCAGUUGAAUUUCGUGCGCUACUGGUUGGUUUUCACCUGCUUGGGCAUUAUGCUGGAUGCCUUUCUCUUACUUUACGGAUUGACACUGGCGGUGUGCAUGAACUGGGAGGGCGUUAAGUUGACCGUUAUGCCAUUCGCUGGGUUGGCUGUAGAAAUGACUUUCGUGUUCAUUAUAUACGUAUUCUACCUGGAUAUUAUUGAGAGUGAGCAGUGGAUACCACUGAGAUACACCAGAUUUAAAGCCGGCUGUAGCUUAAAGCACAGCAAAUACACCUCUAGUAGUGCUGGAAUACUGCGAAGGGAGCGCAAGCGUCUAAGGAAAAUGUACACGAGAGACGAGAAAGCUGCCUUUAAGGAGCCACACCGUAAGCUGCGUAGAGGGCAGCCUUAAUUACCACAGCACACCUAUAAUUUAUGCCUUUCUGUCAAGUCGGGAAAAAUGGAAAGUAGGCCAAGCGUUUCUGCUGCUCAACGUUCUCGGAUAAGCUAUCAAAUGUCGUCAUGCAGCCGGAGAAGACUACGCUCUUAUAUUGCGCCUAUGCUAUAGCCGUUUUCGAUCUGCUCUGUGCUGUUCUCUUCGCUGCACUCAGUCUGUUCAAAAUCUAUUCACAUUUAAGCUGGUUAACCAUAUUUGCCGUCUGUUUUGCCAUGUUUUGGUUAACAUUGAUUGCUUUGCUUAUCUAUGGCAUUUAUAGCCGCAAAUCGAAGCUCGUCAGAUAUUGGCUUAUAUUCUCAUGUGUGGGCAUUGUCAUAGAGAUCUGUCUGUUGAUUUAUGCUUUCUUUGGCAAGAGCACUUUUCAAAUAGGAGUGGUUGACAAUCGUUUGACUCUAUUCAUUGGUUUAUUUGUUGAAACAUUUUUUGCUUUAAUUAUCUAUCAAUUCUAUCAAGAGCUCUCGGAACGCAUUCCAGUUGUCCGGGAAAGUAAGCAGCCUCCUAUAGACCCACCGCUGCUAAAGGUGGUACAACAGCCAAAGGAAGAGCCGCAACCAAAGGCAGAGCUACCGCCAGAAUCAAAAGCUAGUACUGUGUCGCCUUGUCGAAGCUACCGAUCCUACAGAUGCAACAUAUUGCAAACUAACGCCGAUGCAUGCCCCAACACCUACACCUGCGGACCAAUGCAGAAACAAAAUCGAUCCUUAAAUAAUGCAGAACGUUGAAAUCUUAAGGUUGU
Molecule: RNA transcript, 1433 nt
Organism: Drosophila hydei
Lineage: Eukaryota; Metazoa; Arthropoda; Insecta; Diptera; Drosophilidae
Exons: 6
Source: RefSeq, a predicted model, not a curated record